GAGAAGGGGCGUGGUAUUUUGCUCGAAAGGCGGGGUUUGGGUGAAACUGAGCCAAUUGCAAUUGAAGAGCCGGACUGAAGGCAGCAGCAAACGCUCAGCCAAUGGAAGGGGACAUAGGAGUAAAGGAGGCGUGACCAGGAUGGAGCGACUCCGCACGCGCUGGAGCCCACGUGACAGGACUGCACAGCUACAUGCCUGGCGGCUGCUCGAAGCCAAGCGCGCUGAGAGGCAGGAACGUGGUUAGCACGAGCUCGCGCUGCGCCAAGUCUCGCGACACUUCUCAGCCGCGCGAAGACCAGUUAAUCUCGCGCCUGCGCACGGCUUAUCCCGUGCCUUCCCGCGUUUUUUUCUAAGGCUUAACCGCCCGCCACCAGAGGAAGAAGAGCAGCUGCGGCGGGCGUCUCGCGACCGAGGUGGGAUGUCCACUGAGACCUGAAAGGACCUCUGAGGUGGUGACCUUUCUUCAGCCGUGUUCAUCUAAAGCUGGAUUAACAUGCCUACUCUGUGGUCACCUUCUACCCAGCACCAUGGCUCUUCCUCAGGCAGUGAGUCUUCCCCACUUCAAAAGUCUGUGAGACGUGCACAGAUGGCCUUGUCUCCUUGUUCCUCCUCCAUCCUACCCUGUGAUGACAGAGACUCACAGGGAACUGCAGAGUGGGAUAGUCCCUCAACUAACGAAGACAGCGACUUUGAAGACAGCUUAAGACGAAAUGUGAAGAAGAGAGCAGCAAAGCAACCACCCAAAGCUGUUCCAGCAGCAAAACAUCGGAAGAAGCAGUCCCGAAUAGUAUCUAGUGGGAAUGGCAAGAAUGAAUCAGUGCCAUCAACCAAUUACCUUUUUGAUGCUGUGAAAGCUGCUAGAAGUUGCAUGCAGUCUUUGGUGGAUGAGUGGCUAGAUAACUACAAGCAAGAUGAAAAUGCAGGAUUCUUGGAGCUCAUUAAUUUUUUCAUCCGAGCCUGUGGAUGUAAAAGCACUGUGACUCCUGAGAUGUUCAAGACAAUGUCCAAUUCAGAGAUCAUCCAACACCUAACGGAAGAGUUUAAUGAGGACUCGGGGGACUAUCCCCUGACAGCUCCAGGUCCCUCCUGGAAGAAGUUCCAGGGAAGCUUCUGUGAGUUUGUGAAGACAUUGGUCUAUCAGUGCCAGUACAGUCUCCUCUAUGAUGGCUUUCCUAUGGAUGACCUUAUCUCCCUGCUCAUUGGCCUCUCAGAUUCCCAGGUCCGAGCCUUUCGUCAUACUAGUACCCUGGCUGCCAUGAAGCUAAUGACUUCUCUGGUAAAAGUUGCACUCCAGUUGAGUCUGCACAAAGACAACAAUCAACGUCAGUAUGAGGCUGAACGAAACAAGGGGCCAGAGCAGAGAGCACCGGAACGACUGGAGAGUCUGCUGGAGAAACGAAAAGAGUUCCAAGAGAAUCAAGAGGACAUAGAGGGGAUGAUGAAUGCCAUCUUCAGAGGUGUCUUUGUCCAUCGGUACAGGGACAUCCUUCCUGAGAUCCGCGCUAUCUGCAUUGAGGAGAUUGGGUAUUGGAUGCAAAGCUACAGCACCUCCUUUCUUAAUGACAGCUACCUAAAAUACAUCGGCUGGACCCUGCAUGAUAAGCACAAGGAAGUUCGCCUGAAGUGUGUGAAGGCUCUGGCAGGGCUGUACAGCAACCAGGAGCUGAGCUUACGGAUGGAGCUCUUUACAAAUCGCUUCAAGGACCGGAUGGUUUCCAUGGUCAUGGACAGAGAGUGUGAAGUAGCAGUGGAGGCCAUCAGAUUGCUGACCCUUAUUCUGAAGAACAUGGAGGGAGUGCUGACUAGUGCAGACUGUGAGAAAAUUUACUCCAUUGUAUACAUUUCUAAUCGUGCUAUGGCCUCUUCUGCAGGGGAAUUUGUGUAUUGGAAGAUCUUCCAUCCUGAAUGUGGGGCAAAAGCAGUGAGUGAUAGAGAGCGACGCCGGAGUCCACAAGCCCAGAAGACUUUCAUUUAUCUUUUACUGGCCUUCUUUAUGGAGAGUGAGCAUCACAACCAUGCUGCUUACUUAGUAGACAGCUUGUGGGACUGUGCGGGGUCUUACCUGAAGGACUGGGAGAGUCUGACAAACCUGUUGCUGCAGAAAGACCAGAAUCUGGGUGAUAUGCAAGAGAGAAUGCUGAUAGAAAUCCUUGUGUCUAGUGCCCGGCAAGCUGCAGAGGGUCACCCUCCAGUGGGGCGCAUCACUGGAAAGAAGAGUCUGACGGCCAAAGAACGCAAGCUUCAAGCCUAUGAUAAGAUGAAGCUGGCUGAGCACCUCAUCCCCCUCUUGCCCCAGCUCCUUGCCAAGUUCUCAGCAGAUGCAGAGAAUGUUGCUCCCUUGCUCCAGCUGCUCAGUUACUUUGACCUCAGCAUAUAUUGCACUCAGCGCUUGGAAAAGCACUUGGAGCUGCUUCUGCAACAACUCCAGGAGGUGGUGGUGAAGCAUGUAGAGCCUGAGGUGCUUGAGGCAGCAGCCCAUGCCCUCUAUCUGCUCUGCAAACCAGAGUUCACCUUCUUCAGCAGAGUGGACUUUGCCAGAAGCCAAUUAGUAGAUUUUCUGACUGAUAGAUUCCAGCAGGAGCUUGAUGACCUAAUGCAGUCAUCCUUCCUAGAUGAGGAUGAGGUAUACAGCCUGACAGCCACCCUGAAGCGUCUCUCUGCCUUUUACAAUGCUCAUGACCUGACCCGAUGGGAGAUCUCUGAACCAUGUUCUCGACUCCUCCGGAAGGCUGUAGACACAGGAGAAGUUCCUCACCAGGUGAUUUUGCCAGCCUUGACUCUGGUAUAUUUUUCCAUUCUCUGGACAGUAACCCACAUUUCAGAGUCUACUUCUCAUAAGCAGCUGAUGAGUCUGAAGAAAAGAAUGGUAGCCUUCUGUGAGCUUUGCCAAAGCUGCCUCUCAGACGUGGACCCAGAGAUCCAGGAGCAGGCUUUUGUCUUAUUAAGUGACCUGCUUCUCAUCUUCAGCCCUCAGAUGAUUGUAGGGGGACGGGAUUUCCUUAGGCCUCUUGUCUUUUUUCCGGAAGCUACUCUCCAGUCGGAACUAGCCAGCUUCCUCAUGGACCAUGUCUUUCUCCAGCCUGGAGAACUGGGCAACGGUCAGUCACAGGAGGAUCACGUCCAGAUAGAACUUCUGCACCAGAGGCGCCGCCUGCUUGCAGGAUUUUGUAAGCUGCUGCUUUAUGGGGUAUUGGAGCUGGAUGCAGCCUCAGACGUUUUCAAACACUACAACAAGUUCUAUGAAGACUAUGGUGACAUUAUCAAGGAAACAUUAACUCGAGCAAGACAAAUUGACAGAUGUCAGUGCUCUCGGAUCCUGCUCCUGAGCCUAAAGCAGCUCUACACAGAACUGAUACAGGAGCAGGGCCCCCAGGGCCUGACAGAACUGCCAGCCUUCAUUGAGAUGAGAGACUUGGCUCGGAGGUUUGCCUUGAGCUUUGGACCCCAGCAGCUCCAUAACCGAGAUCUUGUGGUCAUGCUGCACAAGGAAGGCAUCAAGUUCUCAUUGUCUGAGCUUCCUCCUGCUGGUUCUUCUCAUGAGCCCCCAAAUCUUGCAUUCCUGGAGCUUCUUUCAGAGUUCUCCCCUCGCCUCUUCCAUCAGGACAAGCGGCUACUACUAUCCUACCUGGAAAAGUGUCUGCAGCGUGUCUCCAAGGCACCUAACCAUCCCUGGGGUCCAGUCACCACCUACUGCCACUCCCUUCACCCUCUAGAGAUCACAGCAGAGGCCAGCCCUCGUGGACCCCCCCACUCCAAGAAGAGGUGUGUUGAAGGCCCCUGCAGGCCUCAGGAAGAAGAGUCCUCAUCCCAGGAAGAAAGCCUUCAGCUGAACAGUGGCCCCACAACCCCUACCCUCACCUCCACCGCAGUGAAGAGGAAGCAGUCUCUGAGGACAGUGGGCAAGAAGCAAAAAGGUAGACCAGGACCAGGACCAGGACCAGGACCAGAGCUGAUCUGCAGUCAGCAACUCUUAGGCACCCAGAGGUUGAAGAUGUCGAGUGCACCAUGUUUCCAGAUUCGAUGUGAUCCUUCAGGCUCUGGCUUGGGCAAGCAGCUGACCCGACUCAGCCUUAUGGAAGAAGAUGAGGAAGAAGAGCUAAGACUUCUGGAUGAAGAAUGGCAACGUGGAGACAAGGUCUGGACCCAGCAGUCCCUUCUCCUAGAAUGUAGAGCCGGAGACACCUAUUCUCAGUCUUCAUGAUGACCUUUUUUUAAAAAAUAUUUUUAAUUAGAUGCUUCAUAGCCCUUCUUCUCCCAGUGAGCAUGGGUUGGACCUAUUAGAUACAACAGAGCUGAACAUGGAGGAUUUCUGAUGGGACUUUAGGCCUCUCCCCUUCUCCACUUACCACUGCAAGUCCUUGAGUGAGCAGAAGGAAGGAGUAAAAUGAAGCAUUCUUUGGGUCCUAGCCAAGUACUUUAAAGGAAAAGAGAAAUGGCCUUAUUUUUCAAAUCUCUAUUUCUUUCUGAAGUGGGUGCUAUAUAUAGAUGCUAUGAGCCUUGUCAUCCUUAAUGCGCCAUCGCUUUAUGCUUUUGCCUGUUUGCAGUGAUAGGAGUUGGGUAGGGAGGGCUUUACGUCAGCACUGAAGUUUAGUAAAACUUCUAUUUGAUAUUUUGUCCCCAAACACUGCCAAACUUUCAAUAAACAUGUUCAGCUAUCUCAUAGGUA
Mus musculus (house mouse) is the source of this 4666-nucleotide RNA transcript. It is a transcript of the gene named STAG3 cohesin complex component, with no coding region annotated. The transcript is spliced from 34 exons. NCBI's taxonomy places the organism in Eukaryota, Metazoa, Chordata, Mammalia, Rodentia, Muridae. The record is from RefSeq and is marked validated.